UGCGGAGGAUGCGAGCGUUAUCCGGAUUUAUUGGGUUUAAAGGGUGCGUAGGCGGUCCGUUAAGUCAGCGGUAAAAUUGCGGGGCUCAACCCCGUCGAGCCGUUGAAACUGGCAGACUUGAGUUGGCGAGAAGUACGCGGAAUGCGCGGUGUAGCGGUGAAAUGCAUAGAUAUCGCGCAGAACUCCGAUUGCGAAGGCAGCGUACCGGCGCCAGACUGACGCUGAGGCACGAAAGCGUGGGGAUCGAACAGG
Molecule: ribosomal RNA, 252 nt
Filed under: uncultured bacterium
Lineage: Bacteria
Description: partial 16S ribosomal RNA
Rfam family: Bacterial small subunit ribosomal RNA
Source: RNAcentral